RNAcentral lists this unclassified non-coding RNA (427 nucleotides) under fungal sp. Its description in RNAcentral is "partial internal transcribed spacer region". The stretch from base 1 to 46 matches the Rfam family "Eukaryotic small subunit ribosomal RNA", at positions 1786 to 1831 of the family's 1831-position model. The record is from RNAcentral. Lineage: Eukaryota; Fungi.
AAGUCGUAACAAGGUUUCCGUAGGUGAACCUGCGGAAGGAUCAUUAACACGUUAUCCACGUUUAAAUAAAUCUUAUCAACAACACCACGAACUGUGCUCCCUGUCGGCCCACUUCACUACGUACACUUUCCGGUUAUGGUGGGUUCAUGGCUGCUUGCUUGCAGGCGAAGUGAACAUAUCGGAGAGAGCGUUUCUGGCCAGCUUGCUAGGUCCGGGGUAGUGAGACAUAUGUCGGCAGGCUUAUUGAUCCCAAGCUCGUAUGCGCAAGCAUUUCCCAACCCCCUUGGGCAGCGGAUGAUCACCAUACCCUAUUCACAAUUUUCAUACCAGUUGACUAAUUACUAUAUUCUUCGGGAGAAAUCCUGUCGAAUUACUAAGAUUUUAUCUUAACUAAGCACAACUCUUAGCAAUGGAUAUCUUGGUUCUC